UGGGGAAUCUUCCGCAAUGGACGAAAGUCUGACGGAGCAACGCCGCGUGAGUGAAGACGGCCUUCGGGUUGUAAAGCUCUGUUAUUCGGGAAGAACGAUUCGUUUGUGAACAAUGAACGGAAGUACGGUACCGAAAGAGAAAGCCACGGCUAACUACGUGCCAGCAGCCGCGGUAAUACGUAGGUGGCAAGCGUUGUCCGGAAUUAUUGGGCGUAAAGAGCGCGUAGGCGGUAUGGUAAGUCUGUCUUAGAAGUGCGGGGCUUAACCCCGUGAGGGGACAGAGACUGUCAUACUGGAGUCUCGGAGAGGAAAGCGGAAUUCCUAGUGUAGCGGUGAAAUGCGUGGAGAUUAGGAAGAACACCGGUGGCGAAGGCGGCUUUCUGGACGAGCACUGACGCUGAGGCGCGAAAGCGUGGGGAGCGAACAGG
This 428-nucleotide ribosomal RNA is filed under the name Fusobacteriota bacterium. Its description in RNAcentral is "Fusobacteria bacterium partial 16S ribosomal RNA". It matches the Rfam family "Bacterial small subunit ribosomal RNA", at positions 355 to 776 of the family's 1533-position model. The record is from RNAcentral. Lineage: Bacteria; Fusobacteriati; Fusobacteriota.